RNAcentral lists this ribosomal RNA (459 nucleotides) under uncultured bacterium. RNAcentral describes it as "partial 16S ribosomal RNA". It matches the Rfam family "Bacterial small subunit ribosomal RNA", at positions 338 to 795 of the family's 1533-position model. The record is from RNAcentral.
CCUACGGGAGGCAGCAGUGAGGAAUAUUGGUCAAUGGUCGGGAGACUGAACCAGCCAAGCCGCGUGAGGGAUGAAGGUACAGAGUAUCGUAAACCUCUUUUGUCAGGGAACAAAGGCGGGGACGCGUCCCCGGAUGAGUGUACCUGAAGAAAAAGCAUAGGCUAACUCCGUGCCAGCAUCCGCGGUAAUACGGAGGAUGCGAGCGUUAUCCGGAUUUGUUGGGUUUAAAGGGUGCGCAGGAGGUUUGUUAAGUCAGCGGUCAAAGCCCGGGGCUCAAACCCGGCCCGCCGUUGAAACUGGCAGUCUCGAGUUGGAGAGAAGUAUGCGGAAUGCGCGGUGUAGCGGUGAAAUGCAGAGAUAUCGCGCAGAACUCCGAUUGCGAAGGCAGCAUGCCGGCUCCACACUGACGCUGAGGCACGAAAGCGUGGGUAUCGAACAGGAUUAGAUACCCUGGUAGUC